GCCAGAAGUCCGCCCCAGGCCCCGGUGUUCCCAGCGCACAGGUCACUGCCAAGGCUGGAGCUGCCGCUGGUCAUACUCUGCUAUCAGUUUUUUGAUAUGGGGAAAUUGAAGUCCAGAAAAAAGGUGAUCAAAUAGCUUAGAAAUGGCAACUAUUGGAAUCAAACCCCUACCACAAGACCUCCAUAAAGCUCCCUGAUUUAUUCCUCUCCAAAACGUAAAUGGCCAUUCAUUACCCACAGAAAACAUGAACUACAAAUCCAGAACUGAAAUAUAAAGUCUUUGCUGGAGCUCACAGCUGCUUUUAAAAAAUAUCAGUAAGUGAAUUCUAACUAUCUCUUUCUUAGAGGAUGUCACCUUGUUAUUGCUUCCACCCCACAGAAGAUAGAUGAUUCUAUUCUGUCGUUUGGAGAACUAGUUAGGGGCAAGGUGAGCCCACAAUGGACGGAAGGCAUGUUAGAAGUAAAAGUAAUAUGAGAAAAGUCUAUUUGAUUUUAACAUAAGUACUAAGGUGUGAGGACAUGACAGGUACUCAAAAAACACUUCUAUCAGUGCUGAAAGGGAUCUUGCAGGUCAUGAUAAUUUAUAUUUAUAUAGUACUUAUCAUUUGGUCCCAACAACAACUUGCCCAGGGACACAAAGCUUUUGUGUCACUCAAGGACUCAGCUCUUCCUUCCUCUAGGUCUUGCUCUCUUUACACUAUAUUGCAUUCUCUUCCCCACCACCUGAAAUAGGUAUUUGUUCUGUAACACUUCCUACAAAUAGAGAGCCAGCCUUUUCUCAAACACUUCCAAUGAGAGGAAACUUACUAUGCCUAUGAAGCAGGCAACCAGCUCCAUUUUUAGAAAUUUUUGAUUACUAGGAAACUUUUUUCCAUAUUCAAUUGAAAUCUAUUUCUCUGUGAUUUCCUCCCCUUAAUUCUGGCAUUAUCUUCUUAGACCACACAAACAACUUUAUUUUAAACUCCCUGUGCCAACUCCUCCAGGAGUUGAUAAGAACAACCAAUCCUUGAGUGGCAACUCAUACCAUGAGAGUGGGUCUCUUCUACAGCUUAUCCCUUCUGGACUAACUCUGGUUUGUCAAAGUACUUUCUAAAAUAUGGUCCUAGAAAUGACUGCUACAUUCCAACUAUAGUUUAAGCAGAGUAGAAGGCAACAGGAUAAUCUCAUAACUUGCUACAGAUAUGGCUCUAUUAAUGCAACCUAAGAAUGUCUGAAGGAUUUUAGGACGUCAUGUCCAAGUUACCUUGCAUUUCACCAAUCAACCAAUAUACAUUUAUUAAGUUCCUCUUGUGUGCUGGGCAUACAAAGAGUAGCAAAAGACAAUCCUUGCUCUCAAAGAGACAUACACUAACAAAGGACAAAGAUGUAUAAACAUGCACUAUUCAGACUAAAUAGGAAAUAAUUAGAAGAAGAAAGGCACUAGAAUUAAGAGAGAUUGGGGAAUGGAUAGAAGUAUAUUGUUUGUGGAACAGCAAAACUAUUGAAUCGAAAAGUACAUGGGAGUGAAUAAGGAAUAAAAAGACAGGAAAGGUAUAAGGAGAGUUGGUCAAACAAAGGAUUUGAUGUUUGAUCCUGGAGGCAAUAAGGAACCAAUGGAGUUUAUUGAAAUGGGGGUAGCAGAAGAGGAAAGUGUCAUGAUCAGACCUGCCUUUCAGGAAAUUCACUUUGGGCUGAAUGGACAGGAAUGGAGAGACUUAAGGCAGGGCAGACCUCCCGGCAGCUACUGUAAUAAUCUGGGCUUGAGAUGAGGAAGCUUCAGAGGGGUGGCAGUGUAAGAGAAGAGAAGGGGGACUAUUGGAAAGAUGGCAUAACAGUGAAAUUGACAGGCUUUGGCAAUAGAUUGGAAAUGGGGGAAGGAGAGAGAUCCCAACAGCUGAAACAGUUGGAAAGGUGGGAGUGAACAGCAGAGUAACGUUAAGGUAAGAAAUCAUCAGCAUAAAAAUGACAAAUAAAUCUAUGAGAAAUGAUAAGAUCAGCCAAAUUAAGUAGUACAGAGGGAGAAGAGCAGAAAGCCCAGGCCCAAGGCCUGAUGGGCCCCACUGGUGAGAGGACACGAUCUGGAAUAGGAGAUAAAGGUGCGAUGCCAACCCCGCCACCACACUCAGCCAUGGGCCUCACGAUGGUCUCACCUGUUCCUCACAACCAACCACCCUGAAUGAGAGGUGCUGCUAAUCUUCUCAUUUACAGAUAAGGGAACUGAGGCACACAGAGGUUAAGCUAUUGAGUGUCUGAGGUUUUCCUGACUGGCAGCUAGGGAUCAAGUGGAAAAAGCCUUGAACUUGGAGUCAGGAAGACUCCUUCUGAGUUCAAAUCUGGCCUUAGACACUCACUGGCCAUGGGUCCCUGGACAAGUCACCUGCCCUGUUUGUCUCAGUUUCCUCAAAUGUAAAAUGAGCUGGAGGAGAUGGCAAACUGCAGCCAGAAACAAUUAAGCAAUUCAACCCUUUCCAGACCCCAUAGCUCUCUUGGCUGUUUCUAGCAGAGAUCGAGAAGGAACAGUUGGAGAACUGGGAGAACCUGGAGAGAAGGGAGUGUGGAAGAGGGAGGAAGGGAGUGUGGAACAGGGAGGGAGGGAGGGAGAGAGGGAGAAAGAGACGGAAGGAGGGAGCCACAGCGUCCAAGGCUGAACAGGACACAAGGACGAUGAGGGGCCAGAAAAGGCCCCUUGCUCUGGCAACCAGGAGAUCCUGGGUCACUCUGAAGGGAGUGGCCAGACUGUAAGGGGUGAAGACAGGACUUGGAGGUAUCCACAAAAGGGAGAAGGGGGUUAAGAGCGGAGCUCUUGCUUAAGCACAGGGAAUGGAAGAAUCAAGGAAGGGUUUUCUGCAGAGGGGGCUGGAGUGGGCAUGUUUGUUGGCUGUGUGAAAUGAGCCAGGAUUUUCAGGGAAAGCGUGAAAAUAAUGAGUGGGAAUGACAGAGGGGAAUAAUCGGCUGGAGACAGGAAGGAAGGAGAGCCCCUUGAGCACAGAGGAGGCAAGGAAUCAUGGCCUUGUGAGACGGGAGUGGUGGAGAAGGCAGCAGAAGGCUCUGGGGUGAGUGAGGUGACAUGAGGAGAAGGAGGCACUCGUGGCUGAAUGGACUCAAAUAUGAGAUGAGGGAAGGGGGUCAUGGAAGGUUGGGGGAGGGAUGACAAAGUCUGAAAGAGGAACUCUAGGGAAUGGGAGAGGGAGCUGACCCAGUACAGAGACCACUGAGGUUGUGGAACAUCAGAAUAGUGACGCCAUUUCCUCCAUCUACCUCCAGCAGCACAUGUGGAGGGGAUGGUAGGAGUGGUACAAGGCUGAAAUUCAGCUGGCACAAUGGAUGAUAUAAGGGGGAGAGUUCAAUUAAGACCUGACGGGUCAAGGUACUGAAAGUCACAGUGCGGCUGAAAAGCAGGACUUAGUGAGGGAAAAGGAUUCCAGAAUUCUUUAACACAGAGGUGAUACAUUUUUGAGUGACGGCAAUAACAAAGGUACAAUCAUCCUUGUAUUAGGAUGAGGUGAAGGAGUGAUUCCAUGGGAAGCAAGUGUAUGGAAGAAGUGAGUGGUUCGAGUGUUUGAUGGAUAGUCAUAAUGUAUGGUGAAUUCAGUCCCUUAGUACAAGGGCAGGACUUGGAAAGGAGAAGAAAAUUGUGAGCCAGGUAUCGAACUCAGUAAAGGAAGGCAAGUGACAGAGAUUGAUAGACAACAGCUACUAGGAUUUUAAUUGGGUAGCAGAUAGGAACAAUAUGGACUUCCAUGGAGGAGAGUGAUGAAUGAGGAAAGUAGAAGGAAAAUCUAGCAGGAGCAAGAAGGAGUGAGGAGUAUUCCAACUCCCUCACCUUGACCAUUGAACAAAGAGGAAAUGAGGGAAAGUGCUGCCAGCCCUGGAAAGUGAACAGAGAGGCUGCUUGUUUGGGGUGGAGGAUCAAGGACAAGCAUGAAGGCAGGUGUCAGUAAAAGCUAGAAGAUAAAGGACAGGGAGAAGUAAAGAUUUAGGAUGAAUGAAAGUUAGUUAUCUAAGGAACAGGUAUUCCAUAAAACACAGUGAAAGGGAUAGAUAGCAUUUGGCUCAAACUUUGGGGUGAGAAAAUUGAAGAGGAUAUAGAUUUUAAAAAUCAGUAGAAUAGGGAAUAAGCUUUAUAUGAUAGCUUAUAAACUUUUAGAAUCAAUGGGGUUUUUUUUUCACAUGAAUGAUGACAUCAUAAGCCUUAUUAUUUACUCGUGUAAUUUAUUUUUUGAACUCAAGUGCUAUUUCAGCUAGUAUUUUACUAGAAACAUUACUGUUUCUAAAAACUAAAUCAAUGAGGAUAGAAUACUACAUUUCUAUGACAACUUAUGGGCCCUGGGUUACUUGAUUUCAUGAUUAACAUAGCAAAGACAAGGAAACUCUUUUGGAGGUAAUCUGUGAAGUUCAUGACUGAAGGCAUCAAUAUAUCCAAAAAAAAAAAAAAAAAAAAAAAUCGAAUGCUUCUUUCUCUUCCUGAGGCUCUAAAACUUUCCAUCCAGUCACAUAUUCAUAUACCAAUUCUUAACAGAUUACAAAUUCUCCUCAGCCAGUAUAAUAAUGUUGAUAAUAGCUGACAUUUACAUGUACUGUUAUAUACAUAUAACAUCCAUCUGGGGGCAGUGGCUGUAUAUGUACACCCUGGGAGGCAACAAUAAGGAAGUAGCUACUAGGACUCACCAAGAACUCCAAUUUGCUCUAUGAUAUAGUGAAACAUGCUUCCUUUAUACAACCUAAGAGAGGUGAAGUGCUAAAUCAAAAAACAUUUCAUAGGAACACAGGAUCUCAAUGAGAAUCAUUUUACAGGGGGAAACUGAUCCAAAGUAAGAAAAAAGCUUGCCCAGGAUCAAACAUAUUACAUAAGGAACAGAGACAAAGAAUCAUCCCCAGAUCUUUUGAUUUCAAAUCCAGUGCUCUAUGAAACACUAUUGCUCUACUGCUUUUUCAUAUAAAAGGUAAUAGUAUUUUAUUUAGACAGGAAUGACAGCAAACUAGUACCAAUUUUAGGACCAUAGGACUGGGACCAUAAAGAUCAGCUAGUUCAAUUGUCUCAUUUUACAGAUGAAGCAAAGGCUAAUGAGUUAAUUUCUGAGUUGGAAACAGAACCAAAGCUUCCCAACUCUCCCAGGGCUCCUCCUACUUUUAUUAAGAUUUUCCAGGAAAGUCCUACCUCAAAAACCCUUCUCCCUGUGUUUUUCAAAUGGAGGUUAUUUGGGCAAAUAAGCUCUUCUUCUGAGAUGCCAGUAUUUUCUGGAAAGGGUAAGUUUUCUUAAACAUGUCUAUGUCAAAUGCAAGUACAACUUACUGUAUCUUUGGGAAGGGAAACAGUCAAUACAUACGCCAAGCUCUAAGCUGAGAUACCAACAUAAUAACAAGCAAAUGAUGAUCUCCAAAAGCUUUCAUGUGCACAUAUAAAUAAAUAUAGAAACAAAGUAUGGAGAGAGGAGAACAGCAGAAGAGGUAGGAGGAGAACGUAGAAUGUGGCCCUGGAGCUGAUCCUGAAGAGGGGAGGGAGUAUUUUAAGAGGACCUAGGGGAUUCUAGGUCAGGAGUAAUGGGAGGGCUGGGGGUAUUCUGUACAAAGCAGAGAGAGACCAGGGAUGGAAUGCUGGCAUUUAGAGCAGCAAGCAGGCCAAGUGGCUGGACCCCAGCAUGACGAGAUCAGGAAACGUAUACUAUAAUCUAAAGGAAUAAAUUGUUAAAAGGGGAAAGGAAGAGAAGCAGCAGAUAAGUCAGCACAGCUCAGCCUCUGGCUCAGAGUGUCCCUGUCCCCAAGUGCUCCUCCUCUUUUCCUCCACUCUUUAAAAACAACAGCUUUUUUGGACUAUUCAACCUUUGUACCCUUUAGAACCCAUUCCUUUCACAAAUUCAGAGAAUCUCAGAGCUUGAUGGGAAUCAAAUUCAGUACAUAACUGAGCAAGCCUCUCUCGACAACAUCCUUGACAAUCAGUCCAGCAAUGGCGCCUACACCACUUCCUAAAGGCUGUGCCAGUCUACUUUCAUUCAGGUUUUUUUUCCUUAAGAAGAUCUAAAAUCUACUUGUCUCAACUUUCCUCCUAAUUUAACCCUCUGAAGCAACAGGAGAUUAUUAAAUUCUUUCCCAUCAGGAACUUGAAGCCAGUGACUACGUAAAACUCCCACACACAUACAUACAUAUCUGUGGGUCGUCCAUCUCCCCUCCCCUCUCCCUCUCUCCCUUCCUCCAAUACAUUCUCUUCAAGACAAACAUCUCUUCUGUCCUGCCCUUCUAUGGCCUGGUUUCUGAUUUCACAAUCAUGGUUCACCCUCUUCUGGUGAACUGAGAAAGAUGCUAUACUAAAGGCCAUUUCUGCCCAAGUUCUGGGUCUAAGAUCCCAUCCAUUUUUUGAAGGAGCACAUGACACUGCUGACUCACUGAUAUCCCCAAGCCAUCCUGGAAGUUUCUACAGACAACUUUCUGAGCCCCAGAGCAGAGUUCUCAGGUCAAAUUCUACAAUCAAACUCUACAAAGGGGUGGGGGUGGGGGUGGGGGGCGGCUAACAAAGAUAAAACUCUAGUGAUUAAUGCCAUCCAACAACAGAUAGGCUGCCAUCUCUGGUGAUUUUCAAGGGAGGCUGAAUAAACCCUGGCUAGAGAGCAAAGGAUUCAUGUUUUAGGGUUGCACUAGAUAUUUUCAAGUUCCUAUCCAAGCCCAAGAUGCUGAUUCAUUCCAGAUCUUCUCUUCUUCCCAAAAGUCCUAUUGUCACUCUCCUCAUCUCCUCCUGAUGAUAGAAGAAAACAGCCAUUUUCAUUUGUUUCAGGAAAACUUUAACAACUCUAGUUAUAGGAUUCAAAGGACAGAAUUAGAAAGAACCUUGGAGAAUUUAGAACACAAUUCUUUCAUUUCACAGAGAAGGAAGCUCAUUCCCAGGAAAGUUUGUUUGCCCAAGGUCACAAUAUGGAUAUACCAGAAGCAGAAAUGAAACCUUGGUCUUUCUUCCAAAAACACUCCCACUACCCUUUUCUAUUAUACUGAAUGCGACAGCUUGCAGUUUUAAAUCAAAUCAUUUGGAUCACUGAGGAGCCCCAUCACAUGCAUAUCCUAAUCCAGGCUCACAAGGGAAGUGUUGGCUAUGGCCACUGUUAGCACCAAAACCUGGGGGUAGAGGGAUGAUAAGAUGUUUCUGUACACGAUAUGACUGUUUUAUAGUCACUAAGGCCUUUCCAGAAGGGAGGCCAUCCUCACUAGUCCUUCUGCCUGCCACCCCAAGGCCAACAGCUU
This is a long non-coding RNA of Antechinus flavipes (yellow-footed antechinus), 7205 nucleotides long. RefSeq lists it as uncharacterized. The record is from RefSeq and is a predicted model, not a curated record. Lineage: Eukaryota; Metazoa; Chordata; Mammalia; Dasyuromorphia; Dasyuridae. The transcript is spliced from 3 exons.